This 273-nucleotide ribosomal RNA is filed under the name uncultured bacterium. RNAcentral's name for it is "partial 16S ribosomal RNA". It matches the Rfam family "Bacterial small subunit ribosomal RNA", at positions 85 to 354 of the family's 1533-position model. The record is from RNAcentral.
CCGCCGGCGACCGGCGCACGGGUGAGUAACACGUAUGCAACCUGGCCGUGACAGAUGGAUAACCGGGAGAAAUCCCGCCUAAUACAACAUAAUGCCGGGAGGGGACAUCCCCUGCCGGUCAAAGGGGGCGACCCCGGUCAUGGAUGGGCAUGCGGCGCAUUAGGUAGUUGGUGGGGCAACGGCCCACCAAGCCGACGAUGCGUAGGGGUUCUGAGAGGAAGGUCCCCCACAUUGGAACUGAGACACGGUCCAAACUCCUACGGAAGGCAGCAG